ACGCUCGACACCUACGGGAGGCAGCAGUGGGGAAUAUUGCACAAUGGGGGAAACCCUGAUGCAGCGACGCCGCGUGAGCGAAGAAGUAUUUCGGUAUGUAAAGCUCUAUCAGCAGGGAAGAAAAUGACGGUACCUGACUAAGAAGCCCCGGCUAACUACGUGUCAGCAGCCGCGGUAAUCUGAGCGGGCUGGCAAGGC
This 198-nucleotide ribosomal RNA is filed under the name uncultured bacterium. RNAcentral describes it as "partial 16S ribosomal RNA". It matches the Rfam family "Bacterial small subunit ribosomal RNA", at positions 328 to 539 of the family's 1533-position model. The record is from RNAcentral.